AGCGAACGCUGGCGGCAGGCUUAACACAUGCAAGUCGAGGGGGCAUCCCUGUGGGGUCCGCGGCAGACGGGGGAGGAACGCGUGGGAAAGGGCCCCUCGGGUCGGAAUAACUCAGGGGAACUUGAGGUAAAAACGGAGAAGGGGGGGAGCAGAAAGGUUUAUCUGCCGAAGGGUCGGCCCGCGUCUGAUUAGCUAGUUGGUGAGGUGAUGGCUCACCAAGGCGACGAUCAGUAGCUGGUCUGAGAGGAUGAUCAGCCACACUGGGACUGAGACACGGCCCAGACUCCUACGGGAGGCAGCAGUGGGGAAUAUUGGACAAUGGGGGCAACCCUGAUCCAGCCAUGCCGCGUGAGUGAUGACGGCCUUAGGGUUGUAAAGCUCUUUUCUUCGGGACGAUAAUGACGGUACCGGAGGAAUAAGCCCCGGCUAACUUCGUG
Molecule: ribosomal RNA, 437 nt
Filed under: uncultured bacterium
Lineage: Bacteria
Description: partial 16S ribosomal RNA
Rfam family: Bacterial small subunit ribosomal RNA
Source: RNAcentral